GACGAACGCUGGCGGCGUGCUUAACACAUGCAAGUCGAACGGUAAGGCUCCAGCUUGCUGGGGUACACGAGUGGCGAACGGGUGAGUAACACGUGGGUGACCUGCCCUGCACUUCGGGAUAAGCCUGGGAAACUGGGUCUAAUACCGGAUAGGACCGCACCGUGAGGGUGUGGUGGAAAGUUUUUUCGGUGUGGGAUGGGCCCGCGGCCUAUCAGCUUGUUGGUGGGGUAAUGGCCUACCAAGGCGGCGACGGGUAGCCGGCCUGAGAGGGUGGACGGCCACAUUGGGACUGAGACACGGCCCAGACUCCUACGGGAGGCAGCAGUGGGGAAUAUUGCACAAUGGGCGGAAGCCUGAUGCAGCGACGCCGCGUGGGGGAUGACGGCCUUCGGGUUGUAAACUCCUUUCACCAUCGACGAAGGGUUUCUGACGGUAGAUGGAGAAGAAGCACCGGCUAACUACGUGCCAGCAGCCGCGGUAAUACGUAGGGUGCGAGCGUUGUCCGGAAAUACUGGGCAUAAAGAGCUCGUAAGUGGUUUGUCGCGUCGUCUGUGAAAUUCCGGGGCUUAAUUCCGGGCGUGCAGGCGAUACGGGCAUAACUUGAGUACUGUAGGGGAGACUGGAAUUCCUGGUGUAGCGGUGAAAUGCGCAGAUAUCAGGAGGAACACCGGUGGCGAAGGCGGGUCUCUGGGCAGUAACUGACGCUGAGGAGCGAAAGCAUGGGGAGCGAACAGGAUUAGAUACCCUGGUAGUCCAUGCCGUAAACGGUGGGCGCUAGGUGUGGGUUUCCUUCCACGGGAUCCGUGCCGUAGCUAACGCAUUAAGCGCCCCGCCUGGGGAGUACGGCCGCAAGGCUAAAACUCAAAGGAAUUGACGGGGGCCCGCACAAGCGGCGGAGCAUGUGGAUUAAUUCGAUGCAACGCGAAGAACCUUACCUGGGCUUGACAUAUACAGGAUCGCGCCAGAGAUGGUGUUUCCCUUGUGGCUUGUAUACAGGUGGUGCAUGGUUGUCGUCAGCUCGUGUCGUGAGAUGUUGGGUUAAGUCCCGCAACGAGCGCAACCCUUGUCUUAUGUUGCCAGCACGUUGUGGUGGGGACUCGUAAGAAACUGCCGGGGUUAACUCGGAGGAAGGUGGGGAUGACGUCAAAUCAUCAUGCCCCUUAUGCCCAGGGCUUCACACAUGCUACAAUGGUCGGUACAGUGGGUUGCCAGUCCGUGAGGGCGAGCUAACCCCGCAAAGCCGGUCUCAGUUCGGAUCGGGGUCUGCAACUCGACCCCGUGAAGUCGGAGUCGCUAGUAAUCGCAGAUCAGCAACGCUGCGGUGAAUACGUUCCCGGGCCU
This 1341-nucleotide ribosomal RNA is filed under the name uncultured bacterium. RNAcentral describes it as "partial 16S ribosomal RNA". It matches the Rfam family "Bacterial small subunit ribosomal RNA", at positions 28 to 1381 of the family's 1533-position model. The record is from RNAcentral.